RNAcentral lists this ribosomal RNA (254 nucleotides) under uncultured bacterium. RNAcentral's name for it is "partial 16S ribosomal RNA". It matches the Rfam family "Bacterial small subunit ribosomal RNA", at positions 524 to 776 of the family's 1533-position model. The record is from RNAcentral.
UACGUAGGGUGCGAGCGUUGUCCGGAUUUAUUGGGCGUAAGGGCUCGUAGGCGGCGUGUCGCGUUCGGGAGUGAAAGCCCGCUGCUUAACGGCGGGUUGGCUUCCGGUACGGGCAUGCUGGAGUGUGGCAGGGGAGACUGGAAUUCCUGGUGUAGCGGUGGAAUGCGCAGAUAUCAGGAGGAACACCGGUGGCGAAGGCGGGUCUCUGGGCCAAUUACUGACGCUGAGGAGCGAAAGCGUGGGGAGCGAACAGG